Molecule: transfer RNA, 86 nt
Filed under: Haemonchus placei
Lineage: Eukaryota; Metazoa; Nematoda; Chromadorea; Rhabditida; Trichostrongylidae
Description: Selenocysteine transfer RNA
Rfam family: Selenocysteine transfer RNA
Source: Rfam by way of RNAcentral
ACCAGGUGCGCCCCGGUGGUCCGGAGUGCAGGCUUCAAGCCUGUAGGCGGUCAGAAACCACAGCGGUUCGAUUUCACUUUCCUGGU